UACGUAGGGCGCAAGCGUUGUCCGGAAUUAUUGGGCGUAAAGAGCUCGUAGGCGGCCUGUCGCGUCUGCUGUGAAAUCUCGGGGCUUAACCCCGGGCGUGCAGUGGAUACGGGCUGGCUGGAGGCAGGCAGGGGAGAACGGAAUUCCCGGUGUAGCGGUGAAAUGCGCAGAGAUCGGGAGGAACACCUGUGGCGAAGGCGGCCGUCUGGGCCGACCCUGACGCUGAGGCGCGAAGGCGUGGGAGCGAACGGG
RNAcentral lists this ribosomal RNA (252 nucleotides) under uncultured bacterium. Its description in RNAcentral is "partial 16S ribosomal RNA". It matches the Rfam family "Bacterial small subunit ribosomal RNA", at positions 524 to 776 of the family's 1533-position model. The record is from RNAcentral.